UUAGAGGCUUGAUUCCUUUUCUCUUCCAAUGGAUGGCACAAACAGGUACUUUUGCACUAGCUACUACAUAGAACUGCAUACCAUACAGCCUCCCUGCCCUUGAUCUCUGCCUCUAUAUCGCUCUCACAGACAUAUGCAUAUGCACAACCCGAGAUGCCUGUGUUUUGCCUCCAUUACUGACAAAGCUGGAAGAGAGGCUUUAUGUUCAAGGCUGGACAUCAUAUCAAGUCUAUUUAAUGGCUUUUAGAAAAGCCCACCACUUCUGAUUGUGGUUGAGAAUUCUUUCCCUUUGUCCUUCCCUGACAAGGAUUAUGAGAUUCAAGAGUGUUGGUCCUUGACAACAGGCACAUGAGAUAUUAAUAACAGGACACCUCAAUCUGCACAUAUGUGUAUGUAUAUAUGUGUGUGUGUGUGUGUGUGUGUUUGGUGCCGGGGUGGGGUGGGGGCAUAAUGAUAUUCAAAGAGGAAAUGGCUUGGGUUAUGCAGUUCAGAUCUCACACACCUGCAGCAAAUUAAUUUGUUGUUGCACAUUAAUUAUCUCAUAGCUUCUAUUUAGGCUGCAGCUGUUGCUAUUAUGUUAAUAUUUUCAGCAUCCCUGUCUACAACAGGUUAUGGCAGCCUCAUAGACAAAAAAAAAUUGGGCUGGGUCUCCUUCCAGUCUUCCAGGUGUAUAUAGAAAUAAGUAAAUAAAAAAUGCAGACUGUUUUGAUCGGGCAUUUCAACUCCUAUUAAUUGGCCGAUCGAAAAGGGAUGGGGCAACCGAACCCAGAAAAAGAAUAACAAUGGACAAAGAUGGCGCGUGCAGAAAUUGUGAGAGGAAAAGAAGAAGAAGAAGAAGGGGGGAAGAGAGAAAGGAAUACCGAACACUGCAGUGUUGGGGCGCUGAGGUCUGGAAAUGAUUUUUUUUUUUUAAAAAAACGACGAAUUUCUGAUUUUGCCGCAGUGUACAUCUGCAGUCCCAGAAUCCUCUGGUAAGAUAAUCCCCCUUGCGAAGGGGAAACGCCUUUAACCUCCUUGUGAAUACAAAAAGAAAAAAGAAAGAAAGAAGUCUGCAACCAUUUUGAAAUUUGAGAAGAGAUGAGAAGGAUGAUGAAUACCAAGGAAUGGAAUGAUAUUGACUCAACAGUGAAGACAAACUGAAAGGAAGACAUACUGUAAGCGCUUAACGUCCUUUGAGUUUCUAGCGGUUGUCUCCAUUGCUCAUCUUCCAUCAAUGGAUGCCACGUCGACAUAUGUGUUCCAUGUGAUUAAGAAAUCGAGAGCUAAUAUCUGAGAUAGGAGAUAAUGGGCAAUGUUUAAAGUGGUUACUAUAGCACAAUAUGCAUUGUGGUAAAGGAAGCUUACUCUUUAGUAAGGGCAUUGAGAAUGGGAGGCUUAGAAGUUGUGAUACAGAUACAGGACAAUUAUAGAAAUUCUCAUUGUUUUCAUAAUUUUUUUAAAAAAAAAAUUAAUCCAAUGAACUUUUACGUAGCUUACAUGUAUAAAUGUAUCCAGCAUGACAGUCAAUAUUCAGAGCAGUUAAGCCUUUUAUGAUUGGGGGGAAACCUUUUUAAAAGGGUUUAGUUAAGCUAAUAUGUACACUGCAAAUUUAAAGACCACACUAUCCAAUUCAGAGGUCUGUUAAAUAUAAUUCUCUUGCCAACUAUUUUCAAAUUAGCUGUCCAUUCACAAGAUUCGUGUGGAUGAAGAAAUCUGCUCUAAACUGUUAAUAAAUAAAAGGAGCUGAAAUAGAAUGUUUUCAAUGUAGUCGAAAGUAGUUAAUUCCACCCCAUCACAAUUUCAUUACCAACUGUCAAAAUUUAAGUGGCAUCUUAUUACUGCAAAUAGUGGGACCAGGUAUAGAAAAGCAUUGCUUCUAAAAUUAUUUUGCAUUUGAUUGAAGCUAACUUUCCUCUUUAAGGUUGGGUACACUCAAAAAUUUCAUAUUAGCUGAAACAAAGAAUAUGAAGAACAUAAUUCAGAAAGGAUUAGAUAUAUAUUUAAUGAUAAUUUUGUGUUUAUGGGAAACUGGACAGAGCAUGCUUCAAAAAGGAAAUCUACCAACUCAACUCAUAACUGUAUGUGCCCAAGGACCACUUACACUGGUAUCAAGCCUGCAACAUCAAUUGAAUCACAUUGGUAUAUUUGAUUCUUGAAUCUAUCCUCUCCCAAUUUUGCACAAAGUAAAAAUAAAAUAAAAUAAAUGCCUAUUUA
This is a long non-coding RNA of Anolis carolinensis (green anole), 2193 nucleotides long. RefSeq lists it as uncharacterized. The transcript is spliced from 2 exons. The record is from RefSeq and is a predicted model, not a curated record. NCBI's taxonomy places the organism in Eukaryota, Metazoa, Chordata, Lepidosauria, Squamata, Anolidae.